This is a long non-coding RNA of Oryzias melastigma (Indian medaka), 3396 nucleotides long. RefSeq lists it as uncharacterized. The transcript is spliced from 3 exons. The record is from RefSeq and is a predicted model, not a curated record. NCBI's taxonomy places the organism in Eukaryota, Metazoa, Chordata, Actinopteri, Beloniformes, Adrianichthyidae.
UUAAGUUUGAAACCGAACAUUUGAGGCUGAAAAUAAUUACAUUUAUUUUAGAAUAUCAAAACGUUUUGGACAUUUUAGAUUUUUUUGGUCAAACACCAACAUUUUUUGAACUGUUCUAUUUGGUUUUCAGAUAUCUAUGGCCCAGAUUUGGUUCCACGGUGGCAGACAUAAAACCCUGUCCACCUUUGUCAUGUGAGGGAUCACACAUCAGUGUAAGAAUGUAAGGGUGGGGUCACCUGGACCCAUUAGAGAGCACGAGGUUAAAGGAGCAGAUCAGCUGUGGAGGCGGGAAACCUCCUCCCAUCCAGCAGCUUCCUGUCAGAACCAAACACGGAUUCUCAAGAACAGUCAUGAAACCGAACCACAGAAACGGACUUCGUUUUUUUUCUGGACCAGAACUUUUAAGAAGAUGAACUUCACGUCAGCUGCAGCUGCAUCCUCCUCAUGCACUCUGCAGCGCUGCUGCGGGGCAGGACGGCGCCAUCUAGCGGCAGAAUCCGGUUCAGAGCUUGUUGCUGCUUUCCUUAAGGUGAAAAGGUCAACAUUCAGCUAAAACCCACACAUCCAGAAACCUGACGGACUGGUCCACCUGCGGGGGAGCAGGUGAGGAUGAGGAGCUGAACUUCAGGAGGACCGUGAGGCUGAAGCUUCAGAGCAGUGAAGCUGCUCCUCUCCUCAUGGGUCCUGCUGCAGGUCUGAACUUCAUGCUGGGAUCUUUCAGGUUCCCCAGAAACGAUGGUGGAGCGGCAGUGGAGAAGUUCUGUCCGUGGAUCCAUCCUGAAGGUUUCUGUUUUCCCCUCUGAUGCUUGUCCUGUGGAUCUGUCGGUUCCAGAAAGCGUUUUUGAAGACCAUCAUCUCACAUCAUCACAUCAGAUGCAGCUUUGGAUCAUCAGGAGCAUCAGAUCCUCUGCAGAGGAGGAGCACAGACAGCAGGUAAGAGGAGGCUUCAGGUGACCUGAGCUCCUUCUUUCACCUGGAAGCUUUCAGACAGGUGGGCCGGACCCCCACCACCCUGUGGCGCCGACAGGACACGUUCCGGAUCCAGUACUUCCUGAAGAGCUCGUCCCUGCAGCCGUAGAUGACAGGACUCAGGAACCGAGGGAUGAUGUAGACCAGCAGGAAGAAGACGUAACGGAUCUCCAGACUCAGCAGCGGGAAAAGAGAGAUGAGAGCGGCCUGGAGGGAGGGAACCACGAAGGCCAGCAUGCAGAGCAUCAGCUGCAACAGACACGACAUGUGAGAACUGAACCCAGACGUCCUCAUGCUGCAGGAACCUUGACCUCUGAGGUACUUCUGUUUGCUCGCAGAUAUAACCCCACCCCCAAAAAACUCUUCAGAUCUAUGAGGUCACGGAUCAAAUCAAACAAAAAUAUCACAAUUUCAGAGUAAAAACGGGUUAAAUCUGCUUCAUAUUUUCAUUCUGAGGGUUGCAUGAGGAAGUUCCUCAGGAAACUGACGGAUCCUUUGAAACAAAAACCUUCUCAGUUCUGUGAACAGAAAUGGAUCAAACAGCUCUGAUGGUAACUGUGAUUUAAAACGAUAAAACCUUUUUAUUCUUUUCAUAAGUAAAGAAUUUUCUGUCCCGACUGUAAAGUUUGCGACCGGACUCCGAGCGGACUCCUGCAGCUUCCCGUCCCUCCGGUGACACCCACCUGCACCCCGUGCAGCAGAACGGUGUUCCUGGCUCUGUUGACGGAGGCCAGGCCGGCAGAGGCGGCCCGCGCCGUCAGCAUGAUCCUGCAGUAGGUGUAGAGCAGCGUGAGGACCACGAAGGACAGGUACAGCCCGUCAAACACGCAGUUCUUGUAGUAGACGGACGAGUGGCGGAAGAGCUGUGAGUGGUCGCAGAAAAUGGCGCUCUGGAAGAAGGUCGGGGGCUCGGUGAGGGUGGUGAUGAGGAGGUCUGUGACGGGGGGGGCGGCCGUGAGGAUGAGGAUGAUGCUGAUGAGGAGGAGGGUGCGGGGCACUGUGCACGUCUGGCUGUAGUGCAGGGGAAAGCAGAUGGAGACGAAGCGCUCCACCGCCAUGCCGGCGAGGAUGAGAGGGGUGGAGCGAGUGGUGAACACCGCCGUCAUCACCUGACAAAACAGAGGAGGACAUCCUGAAGCUGGAGACACGUCCUCCACAGACUCCUAAAACCAGAGAGUCCGCCAGAGCAGCGGCGGGAGUCUGAGGCGUACCAGAGGGCAGCAGACCGGCACCGGGACCUUCCUGAAGAUGUAGCUGACCACAUAGAGCGCCGUGACCAGGCUGAGCUGCAGAGCGUCGUUGACCACCAUGCUGAUGAACAUGAUGUAACGCGGGUUCUCGUAGAAGACUCUGGAGGCAAACACACGUUUCAGACGGACGCAGAACCAGGACGGCGAGCUCCUGAAGCUCCGCCCUCACCUGUGCUGCAGGAACGUCUGCACCAUGCUGACGCUGAUCACGCUGAUGGCCAGCCACACCAGCAUGGCCAUGAUGUUCUUGGUCAGAGCAUUGGCAAAGCUGUCUUUGGGCAGAGCUGCAGCGCCCCCUGCCAGCAGAGAGCUGUUACUGAGGAGCAGAUCUGGAGGAGCGGCGGCGGCGCUGGAGGUCAUCUGUGACUGACCUCAGUGCAUUCUGGGGGAGGGACACCGACAUGGCUGAACUCAGAGAAGCAAACAGAUUCUAACAAACAAAAACUUUUAUAAUCAUUUUAAUUCAAAAUAGUUUUUACCAGAUAAACAAAUUCUGUUUGAUGAUGAGAAACUUUCAAAGAUUUUCUGCAGUCAAAUAAAAAUGUAAACAAAGGAAAUAAAUAUUCACAUUUGAUUCUAAUGUAAACCACUUUGACAGAAUAUGUUCAUCAUCUUCAUCAGACCUGCCUCAGCAGCUCAGGGUUUCCAUCCUGCAGUUAAUGAUAAGAAACAAUAAUCAGAUCUAUUGACGACAGCAGAUGUUUCAGUGAAGUCGAGGUGUUCAUCAUCCUCACAGCAGCUGCAUACUCACUGAAGGUGGAGUGAAGGUGGAGCUCUGAUGAAGCUCGGCUGCCUCGUCUGCCAGCCUGCAGCUCAUUUAUACACAAGCCCUGAGUGCUGCACUGAGGGAUUGUGGGUAAAAAAGGUCUCUGGGACGGGCUCAGAGGUGUGAUCAGGUGCUUCUGCUGUCAGCGGGGGUUAAGGUUUGAAUCCCGAGACAGCCGGCUUUACAGACAUUACUGAACAGCAGAGUUCUGAGGACAGAACGUCGUCUGGACCGACUGGGUCAGAACCAGAUUCAACCUGGAGGGAACUUCAGUUCUGCUGAAAGAUGCAGGAUGAAAACCAGCAAUCCUUGAUCCUGUUUACUGAAUAAAUUAUUCAGAUUUGGAGACAACCUGACAGUUGGAGGUUUUUAUUGACUCUAAUUCUCUGAACAAAUAAAAAAUAAGAAAAA